GAUGAACGCUAGCGAUAGGCUUAACACAUGCAAGUCGAGGGGCAGCAUGGUCUUAGCUUGCUAAGACUGAUGGCGACCGGCGCACGGGUGCGUAACGCGUAUGCAACUUGCCUCACAGAGGGGGAUAACCCGUCGAAAGACGGACUAAUACCGCGUACACUUGGAGGGAGGCAUCUCCCAUCAAGGAAAAGAAAUUCGCUGUGAGAUAGGCAUGCGUCCCAUUAGCUAGUUGGUGAGGUAACGGCUCACCAAGGCAACGAUGGGUAGGGGAACUGAGAGGUCGGACACCGACACGGGGAGUGCGACACGGGCCGGUAUCCGACGGGAGAUAGCAGUGAGGAAUAUUGGUGAAUGGGCGAGUGACUGAUCCAGCGGAGUCGCGUGAAGGACCACUGUCUUAAGGAUUGUAAACUUCUUUUGUAGGGAAAUAAAGAACGGUACGAUUACCGUAGUGAAUGUAACCUACGAAUAAGCAUCGGCUAACUCCGUGCCAGCCGCCGCGGUAA
This 506-nucleotide ribosomal RNA is filed under the name uncultured bacterium. RNAcentral's name for it is "partial 16S ribosomal RNA". It matches the Rfam family "Bacterial small subunit ribosomal RNA", at positions 28 to 523 of the family's 1533-position model. The record is from RNAcentral.